Molecule: long non-coding RNA, 838 nt
Filed under: Phascolarctos cinereus (koala)
Lineage: Eukaryota; Metazoa; Chordata; Mammalia; Diprotodontia; Phascolarctidae
Description: lncRNA (ENSPCIG00000030421.2)
Source: RNAcentral
AUCUGCUCUUUUGGUAUUAUCUGUGCCACUCUUUGUCUCUCUUAUCUCAGAUCCCUGAGAGUUGAUUAAGAGUUGGUUUUUCUAAUGUGGAUUCCUUGUUUAUAAGAUGUUCUCCCACGUUUCUAAGUCAACAGCAGAUAGAUAGAUAGAUAGAUAGAUAGAUAGAUAGAUAGAUAGAUAGAUAUGUAUGUAUAGACACACACACACAUAUAAUUAAAGGACAUCAGUUGGUAGUCAAAUGACAAAGCUUUGUUGUUGAAAUGCUUUUCUGUGUGCUUUUCCUCUAGUGACCACUCAAAGCGUGAGGAAACCACAGAACCUGACAGUGUUGCUGAGACGCUUAUACCAUUAAAACCAGUACAGGAACUUGAUAAGUGGAAGCCAAAGGAAAAAUUUUCUGAGACUACAGACAACAAAAAAGAAUUGGAGAUAUUACUCUAUUUAGUUUUGAAAACUGAGAGGAAGAAAAAGAGACAUAAGAAAAAAAGGAGAUCAGAGUCCAGGAUGAACUUAAGAAGAAGAAGAAGAAAAGAAUUAGCUCGGAAAAAGGGAAAUAAGCAUUUAGGAGUUAACGCCGAAGACAUAAAAAUUCUCGAUCUGAGUAAGCAAAAUGGAGAACUUCAGAAAAUGCCUGAGAAGGGAAACUAUGACAGAGGGAAAAUGAAAGAUGCUAAAUGGGAGUAUCAGGUCCUGCUGUCAGCAGGCCUUCCUUAUCAGAUUCCAGCUUUCAACAUACCCAGCUUUAAAAUGUUCAAUUUGUGGUGAAAGAAAAGCCAAGUAAAAAUAGAAGCAGAGAGGGGAGAAUAAAAAUGUUGUGAAGUAAUAGUUCUCUUGGUUU